AUUGAACGCUGGCGGCAGGCCUAACACAUGCAAGUCGAACGGUAACAGGAAGAAGCUUGCUUCUUUGCUGACGAGUGGCGGACGGGUGAGUAAUGUCUGGGAAACUGCCUGAUGGAGGGGGAUAACUACUGGAAACGGUAGCUAAUACCGCAUAACGUCGCAAGACCAAAGAGGGGGACCUUCGGGCCUCUUGCCAUCGGAUGUGCCCAGAUGGGAUUAGCUAGUAGGUGGGGUAACGGCUCACCUAGGCGACGAUCCCUAGCUGGUCUGAGAGGAUGACCAGCCACACUGGAACUGAGACACGGUCCAGACUCCUACGGGAGGCAGCAGUGGGGAAUAUUGCACAAUGGGCGCAAGCCUGAUGCAGCCAUGCCGCGUGUAUGAAGAAGGCCUGGUGUAAGUACUUCAGCGGGAGGAGGAGUAAGUAAUACUU
RNAcentral lists this ribosomal RNA (433 nucleotides) under uncultured bacterium. RNAcentral's name for it is "bacterial SSU rRNA". It matches the Rfam family "Bacterial small subunit ribosomal RNA", at positions 30 to 462 of the family's 1533-position model. The record is from RNAcentral.